GACGAACCGUGCGAACGUUGUUCGGAAUCACUGGGCGUAAAGAGCUCGUAGGCGGUUUGUUGCGUCGGCUGUGAAAUCCCGAGGCUCAACCUCGGGUCUGCAGUCGAUACGAGCAAACUAGAGUGUUGCAGGGGAGACUGGAAUUCCUGGUGUAGCGGUGAAAUGCGCAGAUAUCAGGAGGAACACCGGUGGCGAAGGCGGGUCUCUGGGCAACAACUGACGCUGAGGAGCGAAAGCAUGGGGAGCGAACAGG
Molecule: ribosomal RNA, 253 nt
Filed under: uncultured bacterium
Lineage: Bacteria
Description: partial 16S ribosomal RNA
Rfam family: Bacterial small subunit ribosomal RNA
Source: RNAcentral